GCCCGGCUGGCGCAAUGGUAGCGCGCAAGACUUCUAUAUUCUCUCACCGAGACGAUAUCAGUUAUCUUGAGGCUGUGGGUUCGACCCCCACGUCGGGCU
This is a non-coding RNA of Sordaria brevicollis, 99 nucleotides long. The record is from the annotation of a GenBank genome assembly. Lineage: Eukaryota; Fungi; Ascomycota; Sordariomycetes; Sordariales; Sordariaceae.